Molecule: unclassified non-coding RNA, 761 nt
Filed under: Hevea brasiliensis (rubber tree)
Lineage: Eukaryota; Viridiplantae; Streptophyta; Magnoliopsida; Malpighiales; Euphorbiaceae
Source: RNAcentral
GUUUGCUCCGAUAUGAGAUCUAGAGUUGUUUGCUGGCUUCAAAGACGCAAGGGAUAUCCAACCGAGAAUAAUAAUGCAAAAAGUUCCAUGAAUGUUUUAUUCAAAACUUCAGAUCACAAGGAGGCAUAAGUAUGAAAUCAGGUUAAUCCAUCAUGACCAAAUGCAUUCUUCAAGCAUUCAAUCAUAUGAUCAGUAUCCAGCAUAAGGCCAACAAUAAAUGGUUUGUACUUUGUACCAACUUAAAUGGUAGUUGCAAGACAGGUGAAUGUUCAUGCUAGGCAUUACUCAUAUGAUGAGUUAGACAAUCCCAACCAACCCCUGUGCCUCGGGUUACUUAAUCGCUCCCUCCUCUUCACUUUGUUUCAAACAAAAACUACCAUAACAUCAAUAUUUCACCAUUACAAUUCAGAACUAAUGCACCAAAAGGAGCAAGGAAGGGAAUAAGGAAAGAAAAGGGGGGGAGAGGGGGUGUGGUGGUUCUUAACAUUCUGUACAACACAGCAAAGACUAAUAUUAUUUAUCAACAAGCUCCAAGAAACUCUCAACACUGAAGAAAUUUCUCUAAAGCCUCUUUCCACAACAAUCUUCAAUGGAACCAGAGAGAGAAAAAAAAAUAAACACAAAAAUGCAAACAAGAGAAUCCCAUGAGAAAAUCAAUCACAAAACAAAAAGGUGCGCUGCAUGCACAGUUUGUGCAUGUAAAUAAUACAAUAGCAUUUGAGUUGCUGUAAAAGUACCAGUAUACCAAGGCAGCUCUGAUG